AGGAUCAGCUCAUGUGUGACACGAGUGUGUCCGGGCUCAGCCCAGAUGGAUUUGGGAUGUGAAGGAUUGGCUCAUGUGUGACACGAGUGUGUCCGGGCUCAGCUCAGAAGGAUUUGGGAUGUGGGGAGGUGAGGGAGGGGCUCAUGUGUGACACGAGUGUGUCUGUGCUCAGCUCAGAUGGAUUUGGGAUGUGGGAGAUGAAGGAUCAGCUCCUGUGUGACACGAGUGUGUCUGUGCUCAGCCCAGAGGGAUUUGGAAUGUGGGAGGUGAAGGAUGAGCUCACGUGUGACAUGAGUGUGUCCGGGCUCAGCCAGGCAGAAAUGGGGCUGGGGGAGGUGAAGAAUGAGCUCCUGUGUGACACGAGUGUGUCCGGGCUCAGCCCAGACGGAUUUGGGACGUGAAGGAUGAGC
Molecule: long non-coding RNA, 410 nt
Organism: Lepidothrix coronata (blue-crowned manakin)
Lineage: Eukaryota; Metazoa; Chordata; Aves; Passeriformes; Pipridae
Exons: 3
Source: RefSeq, a predicted model, not a curated record